UUACAUAGCCUGUCGUCAGGUGCUCAUUUUGCAAUGAGAGAAUCGGGAAUGCGGUGAAAUUCCGCAACGUGCCCAACGCUGUGAGGUGGAUGGUUGCAGCUUUUGCCACUGGUGAAAACCGGGAAGGUGCGGCAGCCAGAUGAAGCCCAGUCAGAAGACCGGCCUGACAAGAUAGACGUGC
This 181-nucleotide non-coding RNA is filed under the name Rhizobium oryziradicis. The record is from RNAcentral. Lineage: Bacteria; Pseudomonadati; Pseudomonadota; Alphaproteobacteria; Hyphomicrobiales; Rhizobiaceae.